Molecule: non-coding RNA, 49 nt
Organism: Trichobilharzia regenti
Lineage: Eukaryota; Metazoa; Platyhelminthes; Trematoda; Strigeidida; Schistosomatidae
Source: Rfam
AUCCAGAUGACGAGUCCCAAAUGGGACAAAAUGCGCAUGCUGACUGGAU